GGGGAUGUAGCUCAGUUGGUGGAGUGCUUGCCUAGCAUGCACUAAGGCCCUGGAUUCAAUCCCUAGCAACACCA
Molecule: transfer RNA, 74 nt
Filed under: Urocitellus parryii (Arctic ground squirrel)
Lineage: Eukaryota; Metazoa; Chordata; Mammalia; Rodentia; Sciuridae
Also listed under: 2 other names
Description: Spermophilus parryii (Arctic ground squirrel) tRNA
Rfam family: tRNA
About the family: Transfer RNA (tRNA) molecules are approximately 80 nucleotides in length.
Source: Rfam by way of RNAcentral